GACGAACGCUGGCGGCGUGCUUAAACACAUGCAAGUCGAGCGGUAAGGCCCUUUCGGGGGUACACGAGCGGCGAACGGGUGAGUAACACGUGGGUGACCUGCCCUCAGCUCUGGGAUAAGCCUGGGAAACCGGGUCUAAUACCGGAUAUGACUCCAUGACGCAUGUUGUGGGGUGGAAAGCCUUGUGCGGCUGAGGAUGGGCCCGCGGCCUAUCAGCUUGUUGGUGGGGUGAUGGCCUACCAAGGCGACGACGGGUAGCCGGCCUGAGAGGCGACCGGCCACACUGGGACUGAGACACGGCCCAGACUCCUACGGGA
Molecule: ribosomal RNA, 317 nt
Filed under: uncultured bacterium
Lineage: Bacteria
Description: bacterial SSU rRNA
Rfam family: Bacterial small subunit ribosomal RNA
Source: RNAcentral